Molecule: ribosomal RNA, 851 nt
Filed under: Enterococcus faecium
Lineage: Bacteria; Bacillati; Bacillota; Bacilli; Lactobacillales; Enterococcaceae
Description: partial 23S ribosomal RNA
Rfam family: Bacterial large subunit ribosomal RNA
Source: RNAcentral
AUUGUGUGAAUACAUAGCACAUUCGAGGUAGACGCAGAGAACUGAAACAUCUAAGUACCUGCAGGAAGAGAAAGAAAAUUCGAUUCCCUGAGUAGCGGCGAGCGAAACGGGAAAAGCCCAAACCAGCAAGCUUGCUUGUUGGGGUUGUAGGACUCCAAUAUGGUAGUUCUUUCAGAUAGUCGAAUGACUUGGAAAAGUCAGUCAAAGAGGGUAAAAACCCCGUAGACGAAAUGUGGAAGACACCUAGGAGGAUCCUGAGUACGGCGGAACACGAGAAAUUCCGUCGGAAUCCGGGAGGACCAUCUCCCAAGGCUAAAUACUCCCUAGUGACCGAUAGUGAACCAGUACCGUGAGGGAAAGGUGAAAAGCACCCCGGAAGGGGAGUGAAAUAGAACCUGAAACCGUGUGCCUACAACAAGUCAAAGCCCGUUAAUGGGUGAUGGCGUGCCUUUUGUAGAAUGAACCGGCGAGUUACGAUUGCAUGCGAGGUUAAGUUGAAGAGACGGAGCCGCAGCGAAAGCGAGUCUGAAUAGGGCGUUUGAGUAUGUAGUCGUAGACCCGAAACCAUGUGAUCUACCCAUGUCCAGGUUGAAGGUGCGGUAAAACGCACUGGAGGACCGAACCCACGUACGUUGAAAAGUGCGGGGAUGAGGUGUGGGUAGCGGAGAAAUUCCAAACGAACUUGGAGAUAGCUGGUUCUCUCCGAAAUAGCUUUAGGGCUAGCCUCGGAAUUGAGAAUGAUGGAGGUAGAGCACUGUUUGGACUAGGGGCCCAUCUCGGGUUACCGAAUUCAGAUAAACUCCGAAUGCCAUUCAUUCAUAUCCGGGAGUCAGACUGUGAGUGAUAAGAUC